GGACAGGGCCGCGCACACGGCAGCCCGGAGCACGCUGCGCAACUCCGCCUCAACAAGCGAGGGAGGGCCGGGCGGGCGCCGCUCGCCACGGCGAAGGGGCUGGAUAGGGGGAGCGUGGGAAGAGAGGAGCCCCCCGGCUGCCGGUCCCACCUGGCGGGUCCCUCCCGCCCGCCGCCCCUCCCUCACUCACCCUUUGCAUGGCUUUCAGGAUCAAAGCCAGUUCAUAGCGGGGCAUCGCAGAGCUCGGCUGUGGCGGGAGGAGCGGGGAUUGGCGAGGCACAGGGGAAGAAGAGGGGGGCGACGGAGGAGGAGAGGAGGAAAGCGCUGCCCCGGCGCUGCUGGCAGCGGCUUCCACCCGCGCGGUUCCCGGGCUGCACACACACCGAGCGGACGGGCGGGCGGCGCGGCUUAAAGGGCGCCGGCAGCUGCGCACGCUCCGCCGCGCCGCCCCCUGCCCGCCGCAGGCACCGCCUCCGCCGCCGCGGCCUCGCGAGCAACUGCCCGCCCGGCGGCUGUCCCGCCGCCCCGGUCCCCGGGGCGCUGAGUGGGGGACGCCCGGCACCGGGGAGGGGGCUCCGAGUCGGGCGGGCCGAGCGGCUGGGCGGGAGCCGCCUCUCCCCUGCGGCGGUUCGGGGCCUGCGCCAGCCUUCCUCCUCGCCGCCGCCGCGGUGGUGGCUGCUGUGGCUGCUGCAGGGAGUGGAAAUUUCCACUGUGUCCGCCCCCUGCUCCCCCCGCCGCGCACACGCGCGCACCCGAGACCGCACGCGGCGGGGGAGAGGACGGUGGCGGGAAGCCCCCGGGGCCACCGGUCCCACGCAGGCGGGUGAGGUGCCCGCAGGUGGGUACCCGCAGGCUCCCUUCCAGAACCUUCCACGGCCCCGCCAGGGUGAUUGUGUGGCCGGGGUGCCCCUCACAAGAGCAGUGCCCGUAUCGUUGGGGUCGUAUUUCUCCACCGCAUGGAUACAUCUCUCUGGGGCACCCCCUUCACUCACGUUGGAGCCAACCUGUCUCCUGUUUCCCAGGGGGAAGCCCUGCAUCCUUGCCUCUGAUUAUUCUGUUCCCAAACGGUAG
This 1071-nucleotide long non-coding RNA is filed under the name Numida meleagris (helmeted guineafowl). Its description in RNAcentral is "lncRNA (ENSNMEG00000012430.1)". The record is from RNAcentral. Lineage: Eukaryota; Metazoa; Chordata; Aves; Galliformes; Numididae.